Prunus avium (sweet cherry) is the source of this 310-nucleotide non-coding RNA. NCBI's taxonomy places the organism in Eukaryota, Viridiplantae, Streptophyta, Magnoliopsida, Rosales, Rosaceae. The record is from RefSeq and is a predicted model, not a curated record.
AGUUCUGAUAAGUUUGGGGGAUGUGAAUGUGAUCCCAAGUACACCACAUAUGACUACAGCAAUACAACAGUAGAAGCAGGCAAGCAAGUGGGUCUGUGAAGUACAAGGGAGGAGAGAAGGAAGGACAGGAAGUAAAGAGCUAUGGUUGGUUGAUUGAUUGACCCUUUUUUCUCUCUUGCCCCUUGUGGAAGGCAAACUUUGGGUUUUCUGAUUGCACGGAUCUGAAGUCAACUCCACAGACUCUAUUUUAAUGGCCUUCAUCAUUUUAUCUGUUCAACAAAUAAAUUUUUUAUUAUUAUCAGAAAUAUGA